CAAGGGGUAGUUUAAUAAAAUAUUAGUUUUGGGGACUGAAGAAAGAACGCUUGUUUUACCCUUGA
RNAcentral lists this transfer RNA (65 nucleotides) under Ephemerella sp. MT-2014. Its description in RNAcentral is "tRNA-Pro". Lineage: Eukaryota; Metazoa; Arthropoda; Insecta; Ephemeroptera; Ephemerellidae. The record is from RNAcentral.